Molecule: ribosomal RNA, 342 nt
Filed under: uncultured bacterium
Lineage: Bacteria
Description: bacterial SSU rRNA
Rfam family: Bacterial small subunit ribosomal RNA
Source: RNAcentral
ACGAGAAAGUGGAGCAAUCCAUGAGUAAAGUGGCGACCGGGUGAGUAACACGUGACUAACCUACCUUCGAGUGGGGAAUAACCUCGGGAAACCGGGGCUAAUACCGCAUAAUGUCUUCGGACCAAAGGAGCAAUUCGCUGGAAGAGGGGGCUGCGGCCGAUUAGCUAGUUGGUGAGGUAAUGGCCCACCAAGGCGAUGAUCGGUAGCCGGCCUGAGAGGGCGCACGGCCACACUGGCACUGAAACACGGGCCAGACUCCUACGGGAGGCAGCAGUGGGGAAUUUUGCACAAUGCCCGAAAGGGUGAUGCAGCAACGCCGCGUGAGGGAUGAAGGUCUUCGGA